Molecule: ribosomal RNA, 664 nt
Filed under: Vibrio rotiferianus
Lineage: Bacteria; Pseudomonadati; Pseudomonadota; Gammaproteobacteria; Vibrionales; Vibrionaceae
Description: bacterial SSU rRNA
Rfam family: Bacterial small subunit ribosomal RNA
Source: RNAcentral
CCUGAUGUGGGGGAUAACCAUUGGAAACGAUGGCUAAUACCGCAUAACGCCUACGGGCCAAAGAGGGGGACCUUCGGGCCUCUCGCGUCAGGAUAUGCCUAGGUGGGAUUAGCUAGUUGGUGAGGUAAGGGCUCACCAAGGCGACGAUCCCUAGCUGGUCUGAGAGGAUGAUCAGCCACACUGGAACUGAGACACGGUCCAGACUCCUACGGGAGGCAGCAGUGGGGAAUAUUGCACAAUGGGCGCAAGCCUGAUGCAGCCAUGCCGCGUGUGUGAAGAAGGCCUUCGGGUUGUAAAGCACUUUCAGUCGUGAGGAAGGUAGUGUAGUUAAUAGCUGCAUUAUUUGACGUUAGCGACAGAAGAAGCACCGGCUAACUCCGUGCCAGCAGCCGCGGUAAUACGGAGGGUGCGAGCGUUAAUCGGAAUUACUGGGCGUAAAGCGCAUGCAGGUGGUUUGUUAAGUCAGAUGUGAAAGCCCGGGGCUCAACCUCGGAAUUGCAUUUGAAACUGGCAGACUAGAGUACUGUAGAGGGGGGUAGAAUUUCAGGUGUAGCGGUGAAAUGCGUAGAGAUCUGAAGGAAUACCGGUGGCGAAGGCGGCCCCCUGGACAGAUACUGACACUCAGAUGCGAAAGCGUGGGGAGCAAACAGGAUUAGAUACCCUG